This 624-nucleotide long non-coding RNA is filed under the name Olea europaea (common olive). RNAcentral describes it as "long non-coding RNA (OEUR_LNC009708)". Lineage: Eukaryota; Viridiplantae; Streptophyta; Magnoliopsida; Lamiales; Oleaceae. The record is from RNAcentral.
UUUUGCUUUCUUCAGUCUUCAGUCUCUAAAUCUAUUUAUCACUCAUUCACAAGCACGGGCGGAACCAUCUGGGGUCUAGUGGACCCAUUAAGCCUGUUCUAAAGGCAAGGAGAAAACCAUAACAACCACAUAAAAAAUUCAAGAGAUCGCUGUUGAGUAAGGAAGAUUACCAUAAAAAAACAACAAUUUUGGGGAAAAAAUCUAAGAAGCUAGAAGAUGAAAAUGGCGAUUAAGACUGGACGGAAUUUUAGAUCGAGGUUGUACAAAAAUCGAUCGCGUGCGAAAUCAACUUAUAAAGUCCGAUUCUACAUAAAAAUCUGAUACUACCUUCCAAGUUUGGUGAUGGUUAUGAAGAAGCAGACUGAUCCUUGUAAAAAUCACAGCAAGGCCAGAUAAAUUGGUUCCAAGGGAAACCCUUAGCCGCUUGUCCCCUCCUGUUUCUCUAUCAAUAGACUUAAAAUCUUCACUGUAGUUGGAGAGAGAAAUUGGGGAAAUGGUCCCUAACUUAUAGGCCCAUUUGCAAAUAGUCUGUAACUUUGAAAUCUUGACGCAACGAUUCCUAACCUACCACUUUUUUGUGCAAAUGGUCCUUUCAAGCCACCGGCGUUAGCCCAAUGGUAGUCU